This is a ribosomal RNA of 138 nucleotides. It matches the Rfam family "Bacterial large subunit ribosomal RNA", at positions 1 to 144 of the family's 2925-position model.
UGAGAAAGGGCGUGUGGUGGAUGCCUAGACUGAAGAAGGCGAUGAAGGACGUGGUUUAGCUGCGAUAAGCUUCGGGGAGAUGCUAAGCAAUCUUUGAUCCGGAGAUUUCCGAAUGGGGUAACCCCAUCAAGUAAACCU